RNAcentral lists this ribosomal RNA (629 nucleotides) under Pseudotremella moriformis. RNAcentral describes it as "eukaryotic LSU rRNA". It matches the Rfam family "Eukaryotic large subunit ribosomal RNA", at positions 47 to 663 of the family's 3401-position model. Lineage: Eukaryota; Fungi; Basidiomycota; Tremellomycetes; Tremellales; Bulleraceae. The record is from RNAcentral.
UAAGCGGAGGAAAAGAAACUAACAAGGAUUCCCCUAGUAACGGCGAGUGAAGAGGGAAGAGCUCAAAUUUGAAAUCUGGCGUGCUCAGCGCGUCCGAGUUGUAAUCUACAGAGUCGUUUUCCGUGCCGGACCGUGUCAAGUUCCUUGGAACAGGAUAUCAAAGAGGGUGACAAUCCCGUACUUGACACGACGACCGGUGCCCUGUGAUACGUCUUCUAUGAGUCGAGUUGUUUGGGAAUGCAGCUCUAAACGGGUGGUGAGUUCCAUCUAAGGCUAAAUAUUGGCGAGAGACCGAUAGCGAACAAGUACCGUGAGGGAAAGAUGAAAAGCACUUUGGAAAGAGAGUUAAACAGUACGUGAAAUUGUUGAAAGGGAAACGAUUGAAGUCAGUCGUGUCCUCGAGGCUCAGCCGGUUCUGCCGGUGUAUUCCUCUUGGACGGGUCAACGUCAGUUCUGUCCGGCGGAUAAGGGCCUUGGGAAUGUAGCACCCCUCGGGGUGUGUUAUAGCCCAGGGUCACAUACGUCGGGUGGGACUGAGGACUGCAGCUCGCCUUCAUUGGCCGGGGUUCGCCCACGUUCGAGCUUAGGAUGUUGACGUAAUGGCUUUAAACGACCCGUCUUGAAACACG